RNAcentral lists this unclassified non-coding RNA (191 nucleotides) under soil metagenome. RNAcentral's name for it is "partial contains 5.8S ribosomal RNA, internal transcribed spacer 2, and large subunit ribosomal RNA". The record is from RNAcentral.
AACUGAUACUACCUGCGGGAACCUGCGGAGGGAUCAUUAGAGGAGAGAUUGGGGUUUGGAUCGAAUUGAUUCUGGUUUGACUCGUCGAGGUUGACUCGUUGAGGUUGACUCUUGAUUCAAACACAUUUACGCGUGUGGGGUGUGGCCGAGUAACAUGAUAUAGCAAUGACAACUUUUAACAAUGGAUCUCU